Molecule: ribosomal RNA, 498 nt
Filed under: uncultured bacterium
Lineage: Bacteria
Description: partial 16S ribosomal RNA
Rfam family: Bacterial small subunit ribosomal RNA
Source: RNAcentral
AUUGAACGCUGGCGGCAUGCUUUACACAUGCAAGUCGAACGGUAACAGGCCGCAAGGUGCUGACGAGUGGCGAACGGGUGAGUAAUGCAUCGGAACGUGCCCAGUCGUGGGGGAUAACGCAGCGAAAGCUGUGCUAAUACCGCAUACGAUCUAUGGAUGAAAGCGGGGGACCGUAAGGCCUCGCGCGAUUGGAGCGGCCGAUGUCAGAUUAGGUAGUUGGUGGGGUAAAGGCUCACCAAGCCAACGAUCUGUAGCUGGUCUGAGAGGACGACCAGCCACACUGGGACUGAGACACGGCCCAGACUCCUACGGGAGGCAGCAGUGGGGAAUUUUGGACAAUGGGCGCAAGCCUGAUCCAGCAAUGCCGCGUGCAGGAAGAAGGCCUUCGGGUUGUAAACUGCUUUUGUACGGAACGAAACGGCGAGCUCUAAUACAGUUUGCUAAUGACGGUACCGUAAGAAUAAGCACCGGCUAACUACGUGCCAGCAGCCGCCGUAA